RNAcentral lists this ribosomal RNA (1403 nucleotides) under Brevistachys subsimplex. Its description in RNAcentral is "SSU rRNA". It matches the Rfam family "Eukaryotic small subunit ribosomal RNA", at positions 33 to 1471 of the family's 1831-position model. Lineage: Eukaryota; Fungi; Ascomycota; Sordariomycetes; Hypocreales; Stachybotryaceae. The record is from RNAcentral.
UGUCUCAAAGAUUAAGCCAUGCAUGUCUAAGUAUAAGCAAUUAUACAGCGAAACUGCGAAUGGCUCAUUAUAUAAGUUAUCGUUUAUUUGAUAGUGCCUUACUACUUGGAUAACUGUGGUAAUUCUAGAGCUAAUACAUGCUACAAACCUCGACUUCGGGAGAGGAGUACUUAUUAGAUUAAAAGCCAAUGCCCUCUGGGCUCACUGGUGAAUCAUGAUAAUUUAACGAAUCGCACGGCCUUGCGCCGGCGAUGGCUCAUUCAAAUUUCUUCCCUAUCAACUUUCGAUGUUUGGGUAUUGGCCAAACAUGGUAGCAACGGGUAACGGAGGGUUAGGGCUCGACCCCGGAGAAGGAGCCUGAGAAACGGCUACUACAUCCAAGGAAGGCAGCAGGCGCGCAAAUUACCCAAUGCCGACACGGCGAGGUAGUGACAAUACAUACUGAUACAGGGCUCUUUCGGGUCUUGUAAUCGGAAUGAGUACAAUUUAAAUCCCUUAACGAGGAACAAUUGGAGGGCAAGUCUGGUGCCAGCAGCCGCGGUAAUUCCAGCUCCAAUAGCGUAUAUUAAAGUUGUUGUGGUUAAAAAGCUCGUAGUUGAACCUUGGGCCUGGCCGACCGGUCCGCCUCACCGUGUGCACUGGUUCGGCUGGGUCUUUCCCUCUGUGGAACCUCAUGCCCUUUAUUGGGCGUGCUGGGGAAACAGAACUUUUACUUUGAAAAAAUUAGAGUGCUUCAGGCAGGCCAAUGCUCGAAUACAUUAGCAUGGAAUAAUAAAAUAGGACGUGUGGUUCUAUUUUGUUGGUUUCUAGGACCACCGUAAUGAUUAAUAGGGACAGUCGGGGGCAUCAGUAUUCAAUUGUCAGAGGUGAAAUUCUUGGAUUUAUUGAAGACUAACUACUGCGAAAGCAUUUGCCAAGGAUGUUUUCAUUAAUCAGGAACGAAAGUUAGGGGAUCGAAAACGAUCAGAUACCGUUGUAGUCUUAACCAUAAACUAUGCCGACUAGGGAUCGGACGAUGUUAUUUUUUGACUCGUUCGGCACCUUACGAGAAAUCAAAGUGCUUGGGCUCCAGGGGGAGUAUGGUCGCAAGGCUGAAACUUAAAGAAAUUGACGGAAGGGCACCACCAGGGGUGGAGCCUGCGGCUUAAUUUGACUCAACACGGGGAAACUCACCAGGUCCAGACAUGCUUAGGAUUGACAGAUUGAGAGCUCUUUCAUGAUUGCUUGGAAGGUGGUGCAUGGCCGUUCUUAGUUGGUGGGGCGACUUGUCUGCUUAAUUGCGUUAACGAACGAGACCUUAACCUGCUAAAUAGCCCGUAUUGCUUUGGCAGUAUGUUGGCUUCUUAGAGGGACUUUUGACGCAAGUUAAAGGAAGUUUGAGGCAAUAACAGGUCUGUGAUGCA